UUGAGAGUAGACAGGAUGCACACCCUUUAUCGCUAGCAUACCGAGGUGCUGGUGGCGAGUUCCAAACUUGGGUUUUGCAGGUUGCCUUCGCGAAUUUGUGCGUGAAGCUAGCUUGGGUGUUAAGAAUGCUGCAUGAAGAUUGCUACUACAUGCAAGCCGCCCUGCCUCUACCUGCACCAACCACAUGUCAGAUUCCAGGAUGCACGUGCGCUUCCUGAUAUACUGACCUGCAUUAGUUUUUGGCCGUUAAUGUGGUGACAUUGUGCAAAUGUUAGCUGGCCAGAUAGAUACAAGGGCUGUGGCAAGCGUGCAUACCGAUUUAACCUUUUAUGUGUAAGCGUGCUAGAGAUGGAAAGGCUCUCACCUUUCAGUCCUGCCCUCCUAGGGUGCAUCCGGGGGGUGGGGCAGUAAGCUGAUUCGUACUGCAAAAAAAUCCAUUUUGUUUUCACUUGCAAAAUCGUCCGAGAAUUCAUUGCCUUUUGCUGAUAUUUCUCAAUGCAUGGGCGAUGUCGAGACACAUACACACAUGUGCAUGUGUGCAUAUUCAGUUCUCGCACCCCCACACAUUCAGCUAGCACCCGUACGAACACAGACAGCCCUAAGACCACUAUACCCACGAAGAUGAGGAGCUCAACAUCAACAGCUCAACAUCAACAGGCACGGACCACAGACAGAAGACACGUGUGCACGCAAGCUCCACAUCAUCCGCAUCAGCAUGUGACACAGACAGACAGACAGUUACACUCACACGUGCACAAAAGAGCACUUUUCACCUCCACGCCGGGACGAGAUGCGGGCCAAGCAGUACAAGUGACAUCACCCACAUCAUCACCAGCUGCAGCACACGGGUAAAACGCAGAGGCGGAAGGCCCACACUGUGUGCAACAUGCCUCUGCGAUGUAACACCCCCAACCACCUAACGGAUCAUACGUACACCCCCAACUAACCCUAUCAACUGCAACUGCAACGGGGAGGGAGGCGCAUGAAUGAAAGGCCUCCAGUUCCCCCUCUGUUGUCCAGUCCCGUCCUGUGGAGACACCUCACUGCUCACCUCAGCCAGGUAUGUGUUAUAGACCGUCCCCCUCAACGGUGCCGCUUUUGUUCCUGCCCACCCCUCUCCUCUCACCCUGCACCCCCCCUGUCACCCAUCACCGCUCGCCUGUCACCCCUUUCCUCUCACCCGUCCCCCACUCCCGCUGUCACCCCAAGCCCGACUUUCCCCUUUGUUCACUGGUCCCCAAGCUAAGCCGCCAGCUAAGCCUAACACACAGACCUGCAUGUUCUACUGUUGAGGCUAUGGUUAACCGUUUCCAUGGAGGGUCACAGCACCAUGUGUGUGUUACAUAUGCAAUAUCCAUGUGGGGCCUGAGGUUUGACAUGCACAUGAAGCUAGCUUGGGUUGUUAGGAAUGCCAAGACACAUGCUGUGAGUGUGGUGCCUCCAUUUUUGUGCUGCAGCACUCCCAGGCACCUUGGUGUUGUUGUGAAGCACAUAGUGGUUAACUACUCGUUGAAAUGACUGCUGCUGUCAGCAAGCAUUUGUCAGACUCCAUCCCCG
RNAcentral lists this long non-coding RNA (1557 nucleotides) under Volvox carteri. Its description in RNAcentral is "long non-coding RNA (VCAR_LNC002334)". The record is from RNAcentral. Lineage: Eukaryota; Viridiplantae; Chlorophyta; Chlorophyceae; Chlamydomonadales; Volvocaceae.